RNAcentral lists this ribosomal RNA (311 nucleotides) under uncultured bacterium. RNAcentral's name for it is "bacterial SSU rRNA". It matches the Rfam family "Bacterial small subunit ribosomal RNA", at positions 335 to 632 of the family's 1533-position model. The record is from RNAcentral.
ACUCCGUACGGAGGCAGCAGGAUUGGGGAAUAAUUGGCACAAUGGGCGCAAGCCUGAUGCAGCCAUGCCGCGUGUGUGAAGAAGGCCUUCGGGUUGUAAAGCACUUUCAGUCGUGAGGAAGGUAGUGUAGUUAAUAGCUGCAUUAUUUGACGUUAGCGACAGAAGAAGCACCGGCUAACUCCGUGCCAGCAGCCGCGGUAAUACGGAGGGUGCGAGCGUUAAUCGGAAUUACUGGGCGUAAAGCGCAUGCAGGUGGUUUGUUAAGUCAGAUGUGAAAGCCCGGGGCUCAAGCCUCGGAAUUGCAUUUGAAA